This is an RNA transcript of Artibeus jamaicensis (Jamaican fruit-eating bat), 2598 nucleotides long. RefSeq lists it as uncharacterized. The transcript has 5 exons. Lineage: Eukaryota; Metazoa; Chordata; Mammalia; Chiroptera; Phyllostomidae. The record is from RefSeq and is a predicted model, not a curated record.
CAAGGAGAAGAAAGGAGGGACUCACGGCAGGGGAAGAGGAGCUGCAGAGUCUCACCCAGAAAAGUAGCAACAAUAAUGGGAGCCUGUUUGCUGCUUAAGCCUCACAUUCCUAUGUCUCCUACCUCUACAAAUCUAAUGUAUUGUGCAAAUGAUGUUUCUGCCUCCUCUGUUGGAUAAUGGCAGCUGCAGCAUACUGCUCUUCUCUUGAUGAACCUCAGCUGCGCCUUUCUGAGAAGAAAAAGCAUCCUUCUGGCUCUGGAGGAUGGAAAUCCAGGAUCACAGCACCAGCACGGUUGCCUGUGAGCCUCCAUGCAGAGUGUCACAGACUUGUACCCUCAGUAGGCAGAGGCACUGAGGAGCUCUCUGGACCCCCUUAAUAAGCACAGAGCUCCUGGGAUGGCAACCUGACUCCCGCAGAUGGCCGAACGCGUGCCGGGGGCUCGGCUCACAGGAGGCGCUUUUGCUGCAGUGUCCGUGUGCCUGGUAUGUUGUUUCUGAAGUGGAUUCCCAGCAGAAUGGAAUUUCCUUCAUGAAGGUGGCAGUGAAAUUGAAGAGUUCUUCAGGCAGAGAUGGCUGUGUGAUUCUGAACGUGCUUCCUAUUCAUCUCCAGGAUGAGAACAAAUUUUUCGAGACAAGCCUCAUGGCUGGGGUUACCACACAAGGCAAGGUCCAUCUCAGGGAAAACAACAAAGAGAAAAUGAGCUCUUUUCUCUUUGAGGCUCCAAAAAAGGGAAUUUCCUUCUUCUUAGUGUUCCUUGCCACUCACAGCUGAUGAUUAUUCCUGGAGGCUCUGCUGACGGGUUUUCUGAGCUGAGCGCCUUCGAGUGCAGCUGGGGAAGGUUAGCCCCAAAGCUCCUGUGCUGCCUGAUGCAGGGGCCAGGUGUUUGAGUCCAAGCAAGGCAGCUUCACUUCACAGGUGCAAGUGCCUGCAGGAGGGGGAAAGAGACACCCUGCGCUGCUAACCUGGUGUCUUUCUCUAAACAGUAGAGGGCAUUUCCAGGAUAUCUUGAACAAUCUUUUCCCAUCCUCUCCAGUGAGCUAGUUCUGCUGCCCUGGCCCUAGUCUGAGAAGGGCAGACAGCUUCCCAAAUGCCCUUCCCCCAUCUCCCUGACAGCCCACUCCAGGCCUCACCUCAGCUGGGAUAGGCUUCCUCUCUGGUCUGCCUGACCUUGCUCAAAUCCAUGCUCCACACUGGAGCCCAAGUGUCCUACAGAUAAAGCUCAAAAUCCUUUCUCCAUCUCUGGCAAUGCCUGAUAAAAUACAGGACACCCAGUUAGGUUUAAAUCUCAGGUAAAGAAUGAAUAUUUUUUACUUUAAAUUGGGACAUAUUUAUACUAAAAAUCAAAAGCUGUUUAUCUGAAAUUAAACAAUAAGUACUGUGUGUCCUGUAUUUUUAAAUGCUAAAUCUGGCAAACCAGGACACUUAAUACCCUGACCCAACCUUGCUUUUACUUCUUUGUGUGUUACACACUCUCUCCAUGGUUCAGCUCCUUGUAGUUCUGCUCCAGGGACUGCUCUGUCCAGAUUCCUCAGAGCAGACUCUGUGACAAGGGCGGAGUGUAAGCACUUCAUCUUGGCGGCAGAGAAAACACCUGUAGGGAGAGGGAAAUGGCACAGGAAAAGGAACCCAGGGCUCACAGGGUGCCUGGAGCUGGAUUCCUGGGGAAAUGCAAUGGUAAAACACACUAAAAUUAUCCCACUUGAGGAGAGAAGAAACCAGGCACUUACGUAUCAACUGCUUCACUCUGUCAUUGGUUGAGGGCUGCUCUUAGGGGUGUUCUUUCUCUCUAGCUUUUUAGCAGCAUUUCUUAAAAGACAGAAAAACGGCGUCUCCGGGGAGGGUGGGGCAGGGUGUCUCCCAGGUGGCGGUGCAGGGGAGUGCCCAGAAGAACGAGGGAAAGGGCAGGCUCCAGGACGCUGGCCAGGCAGCCACAGACCUGUGCACCACACUCCUCCCACCUCUCUGCUCCACCUUGUUCUACUUAUUCUGUAGUAUUUAGAUGUCCCUUAGGGAGGAAUCCUGUCCCACCUCCACCCACCCACUCAUACAUCUGAAAUUCAAGUGCUGUCCAAUCCGUGUGCUAACAUCCUUUACAACUCUUAGUAAUUUUCUACUGCAAUGUUAAAGGAAGCUUUUCAGACAACUUCAUUGUGAGCAUGUGUCAAAAUUUUAUUUUAACUUUGCUGUAUAAAAAGGCCUAUGAGAGAUACUGGCCAAUUUAAAGAUUCUUUUUUUUAGUAAGAAAUUUUACAGUUAAAAGGAAAAAAAAGAAUGUUUGGUUAAAGACCACCAGACUCUUGUCUAAUAGUUAUCAGGAUGGCAGGUGAUUUGAAUCCCCAGAACCAAUUUUCAUCCACUAUAACUUAUAGGAAAUUUAUUUACAAUUUAAUGAGGACUAAUACAUCCUUCCAACAGGACAUGAAUUACAUCAUUCAAAAUAUGUUCUUUCUCAGAUUAGGUUUGGAACUCUUUUUUCUUUCUAAAACAGUGGUUACAGAUUUCCUUGUGUUCUGCCUCCAUCUAAGUCCUUGGAAUUGGUCAUUAUAUUUGGUUUUUGUUGCAAUUUGUACAGGUGCAGAGCCCUCAAUACAAAACUC